This 74-nucleotide transfer RNA is filed under the name Jaminaea angkorensis. RNAcentral's name for it is "tRNA-Ala". It matches the Rfam family "tRNA". From Rfam's summary of the family: Transfer RNA (tRNA) molecules are approximately 80 nucleotides in length. Lineage: Eukaryota; Fungi; Basidiomycota; Exobasidiomycetes; Microstromatales. The record is from RNAcentral.
GGGGACAUCGUAUAGCUUGGUUAGUACAUUUCUGUUGCAUAGAAAUAACGCGAGUUCGAGUCUCGCUGUCUCCA